ACUUUUCCUCCGGCUAUGCAUUUUUCAUGGCAUUUGUCUGGAGCAUUUUCAUUCCGCAUUUCAGCAUGGUCGCUGUUCCAGUUGCUGUUUGGGCACUUUAAAGUAGCCGUAGAAGGAGGAAAAUCGGAGUAGAAAGCAACGGAAUAGCGAGCACAUUUCAAAAACAUAAACGCACAAAAUGUGUCAACCGCAAUAUGCUCGCUGUGUAAACAGGGCCGAGACGGCCACAUGCGGAAAUCACUAAAGGCACUUCCUGCACCAGCAACAAAUGCCAUAAAAAUCAUGAAAGCUCCUCCACACGUAACCCCUCCCCCUUCCCCGCCCAAAAAGCUACUACUCACCUACAGCGUGCACACAUAGAUAAGCCGGGCACGAUAAACGAGCGUUAGACUGGAGCCGAGGUCAAUAGGUCGUUCCCGUCGGUACGCCGAUAUCCUGAGAGCCAGCGAUGAUCUCGUGACACUGGUGACACCAAACUAUACAGUUGGAUAGCUUGGUUUUAGUAAGCAAGCAUGUGAUAUUCACGCAAAAUGUUUAAAAUAAUAAAUAAAUUAAAUUUACGAGUGACAGUAUAACUUGACUACGAUCCCCAUUAAACGUUCCACUCGAAAACAUAUCCUUCGUGUCCUGUUUUUCUCUAGUCCUGUCUGCAGCUCUGGCUCCACUUGGAGUUCUUGGAGCAGCCCAUUCCUCCUCAGGUGGUGAAAACUAGACGAAACUCUCCUGACGUGUUAAAUUGAAUUUGAGCAGCGCCGACGACGACGAAGAUUUGGCCUUGGUUUUGCUGCUGGAGCUGGACAUGCCACUGGAAUUGGUCUUGGUUUGUGCCUCGGGCGUCUGGUGGCCACUGGAGAAGGAUCCGCCAGGCGCUGGAGUGGCCAGCAGCAGCUGCUGCUCCUGUCCAUGGGCGCCAAGCAGUUGUCGCGUCAACUGGGAUAUGUCUCCGCCGUAGCUGCUGUCCAGGUGCUGCUGCUGCUGGUGCUGCGGAUUGGCAGGCUUGAGGGCCAGGGAUUGACGCAGCAGAUCCGGCAGAUGCCACUGCUCCAGUAGCUCCGCUCCGAGGGUCGGCGAAUCGCUGGCCAGCCGGGUGAGAGUGUGCAGAAUGGUCUUGAUGGUGCGGCGCUGGGCAUCGCUCUCCGCACGUGAGCCGUAGGUCUGGUAGAAUUCCGUUUGGUACACGGACGUGAUGAAAUUUAUGAUGACGCCGUUGGCCAAGUGGCUGUGGCACUUCUUGUUCAGCGACAUGUUGUGCAGCAUCCCAACGAUCUGCUCCU
This is a long non-coding RNA of Drosophila yakuba, 1274 nucleotides long. RefSeq lists it as uncharacterized. Lineage: Eukaryota; Metazoa; Arthropoda; Insecta; Diptera; Drosophilidae. The transcript is spliced from 2 exons. The record is from RefSeq and is a predicted model, not a curated record.